CGUUCAGCACCGACCGUCAGCUCGUACAGCCAACAGCCCGCUCGAUUGUUUAAUGUUCAAGCCUGUACAAGCUGCUUGAAGCAAGAUAUAAAGCAGGUGUUGGAAGCCUCUGGAAAGUUUGCUGUCAAUUACUGCCAUUUCCUCUUCCCAACAAAGACUUAAAAGCGGAAUGGAUCUUUUCAGACUGAUGCUGCUGUACAUGCAUGAUGACACAGAAAGCCUAGAGGAUAGUUUUACCGUGCAGCUGACAGAUGGCAAGCGCACAGUCCAAGGGACACUUUACAUCUACAUCAUGGCACUCAACGAUGAAAUCCCUCAUCUUUCCAGUCCGUCGGAGGCGAGCUUCACAUCUCAAAUCUCAUUUAUGCAUUCCC
This is a long non-coding RNA of Calidris pygmaea (Spoon-billed sandpiper), 374 nucleotides long. The record is from Ensembl. NCBI's taxonomy places the organism in Eukaryota, Metazoa, Chordata, Aves, Charadriiformes, Scolopacidae.